RNA transcript from Brassica rapa (field mustard), 4868 nucleotides. It is a transcript of the gene named probable low-specificity L-threonine aldolase 1, with no coding region annotated. The record is from RefSeq and is a predicted model, not a curated record. NCBI's taxonomy places the organism in Eukaryota, Viridiplantae, Streptophyta, Magnoliopsida, Brassicales, Brassicaceae.
CUAUAUUUAUAGAAUCCAUACAAUUUUCAUAGAUCGUCAUGGAUUCAUAAUUACAUUAAUUUUUGCUUAUGUAAAAUAAUUAUAUAAGAAUAAAUAAUGUAUUCGAGAUUGUAAUUAAUCUUGGUACUCUAAAUCCCGUAGACUAUAUUUGAGAAGUGGUUUGUAUAUGUGUCAUCACUACAUUAACUUUCACAAAAAAAUGAUGACAUUGCUUAAAAGAAAUAUGACAGGACAUAAAUCUAAUUGUGACAUGUAAAAUUUAUUAUAUUUAGAUUUAUGUUUUUGGUAAGAUUUUUUAAAUAUAAUAAUGAUGAUUUUCUAUAUACGGAUUUAUAUUUUUGGAAAAGUUUCAUAAUAUAGUAAUAACUAAUAAAUUUUUAUAUCAAAAAUAUUUUUUCUCAGUAAAUAUUCAUUUUGGUAAGAUUUUAUGAUACUUAAUAACUUUUCUAUAUCUAUUAAAAUAAUAUGUUCUUAUAUAUAAAUAAUAAUUACGAAUAUUAAAAUUUUACAUCAAUAUAUGAAUCAUAUUUUUAUUAUUAAAAUAAGUAUAGUUUAAAAUAUAUAUUUUAUCAAGGUAUAUAAGUUAUUUUUAUUUAAUGUAUAUAUUAUUAGAAAUAAUUUACAUAUUUACAAAUAGACAUAUUUAAAAAUGGUAAUUAAAUAAAGAAUAAUAUAAUAAAGUAACUUUAUAAAUUUCAAUUAUUUUUAUCAAAAGUUAAAUAAUGCAAAAUUAAAAGGUCAAAGUAAACUUGAAUAAAUCAAACUAAAAACAAUUACAUUAUGAUUUUAUUUUUUUAACUAAUAAAAGUAAAAUAUAAAAAUAGAAAAUUUAAUUUAUAUAUAACAUUUUUAAAUAUUUUAUAUUUGCGCAUGGCGCAGGAAAACUCCUAGUUAAGCUUUAUGUUUGUUUAAUUUAGUUUUCUUUUUGCGUUUGUAAUAGAUUGACUAUAUUUUAGUUAUAUUAUAUUUAGUAUAAUUUAAACGUUUCCUAAAAAUAAAUUAUGUAGCAUAUAAUAUACACAUAAUUUUUUCAAAAUUACAAAUCAUUUGUUCAGAAUGAUUUGAUCUAUAAUCUUUUUUUUUUUUUUUGAAACUAAGAUUUGAUCUAUAAUAAUCUAUUAGAAAAAAAUAGCGUGUUAAGGAAACACAUGCCGUGUAAGUUAUAUGAUAAUAGCAUGUUGUAAUUAUCUUUUGGACGGUCAACUGAUAGCAUGUUAUUGAGUUCACAUUAGUAUAAUGCCAUUUUAAAACGGGUUACAUAAACGUUCUUGUUUUAAACUACAAACUAUUAAUUGGUGGGAUAAAAAUUCUAUUAAGAAACUUGGUCAACCCUCAUGGCCUCAUCAACCAUAUAUAUUUUAAUAACUAAAAAUUACCUGGCUGAGUGAGAUGUUUUAUUGCAAGCUAAAACAAUUUUAAAAGAAAAAGUACGUAUCCAACUUUCAUGCAACAUUUGAAGAGUUAAUGUUUCACCAAUCCAUGCAUAAUCUCAUAUUUCAUAUUCCAAAGUUCGUUGAACGUUUACUGCAGCGGCACCACUUCAAAAAUGAAAUAUACAAACUUAUUAUCAUUACAGAUAGCUCUCGCCUCUCGUUGCUUCUGGAAAGUUUUCUUUAUGAAAAAUGUCAUAUUGGUUCGACCAGUAAAAGUGUCAGCCGGCUUAACUGAGUUCGAUCGUCAUCGGAAAUUCAAUUUCCACUCAUAUUUUUUUUAGCACUUUGGUGUAGGGCCACUACAAAACAAUUGUAUAUAUGUAUAACAUAUGCUUUCACAAUUAUUGAAGAAAGAAGAAAAACGUCCCAUUUGAAUGAAAUAAAGAUAUAACAGUCUCAAAAUUUGGUGUCACGCUUAUAACGAUUGUAUAAUUUUAGUUUAUUUUAGAGAAGAAAAAUGAAAAAUAAAAAAGAAUUAAAUCUGGAAAAUUAAAUCCGAUAGAGACGGAGACGCCAUGAUCCAUGAGAGUAGAAGUGAAACGUGGGAGCUGACUCAAUAUUUCUAUAAAUAGAGAGACAUGAAGGUAUGUAGUUACAGCUACUCCAGACUAGAGACUUGAAAAAGUAUUGACGACUAGUGGGUGAAAGAUAUCUGAGUUCCGUCUUCUCUACUUGUAAGUCUUUAUUACUAAUCAAGUGGUACGUUCCAUUUUUUCAACUAAUGGUAGCAAGAUUUGUAGACGAGAUGCUUUACCUGAUGCUUCAAUUAUAGCUGCCUCUGACUCUCUGUAUAUAUUUGAUAUCCGUUCCAUCGAUCAUUGUUGCUCCUUAAAUUCGUAAUAUAUAUCGUAUUAUGAGAAUUUGAGACCGUAACAAUAUAAAGGAAACAUGUAUAGAAAACAGAAUAAAUUUUACAUGUGUAUUGUCAUUACAAAAUCAUGAUUUGUCUUUUUCUGCAUCAUAUAUGUCUUCUUCGUAAAUACGUGCAUGGUGCAAGAUAAUUUCUUAAACAGGCUAAUGUUCAUAAAUAUGUAAUAUACACAUAAAUUUGAUUUUCUUUUUAUAUUCUGUAUAUAUAUAUAUGUUUUUGGAGAAGAUUUAGACCCAUGCUGCCUUGCAUAUGAAUCUAUCUAGAUUAAGAUCCUUAAAUCAUAGCUAGUCAUUUGUCCAAAAACAUAAAACAGUUUGUACUCCAAACAAAAAUUUAGAAAAGAUAAGAAGUGAACACUAUUAUCUGUUAUAAGUUCUAAAUUAACUAAACCUUGACAUCCUCGAGUUAAAAUUUACGUUAUCUCCGUUUGCCAAGGAAACAAAGCACACAUAUCAUACGGUUGAAAAAAUAAGAAUAAAGUUACGUACAUAUCAUUACAAAUAUAUUAUAGCCACUAUAUUAACAACUAUAAGUUUUGACAAAUAUAAGACACGACACUAGAAUUUAGAUCAAUUGAAAGUGAACACUAUAAAACUUUGGUUCAUCGAUACGGUCGAGGAUAAUAAGAAGACGACAACUAUCUCGUGAAUUUCUUUUUGCCUUGGCAUCGUAUGUACGUGUGCUUCCCAUAUGGAACACAACUUCGUCGUUUUCUUUUAAGUUCCAGUGCCAAACGUUCCUAAACCUUAAAGGAUUUCCUUCCUCUUAACAUGCAAACCUGAAACUUUCCUUAGCUUCACGAGUUUAUUUACAAAUGUUUUAAUUAUUGUGAUGUGUUAUUUUGGUGUUAGGCCGCAUCAAGCUUAUUUAACUAAGCUCAAGUUGGAAUCAGAAACAAGAGCAUCCUUCUUCAUUUACACAGGGCUUUUAAGAUGGUGAUAAGAAGUGUGGAUCUACGAUCAGACACCGUGACAAGACCCACUGAUGCUAUGCGCGAAGCAAUGGCUGGUGCUGAGGUGGACGAUGACAUACUUGGCUACGAUCCAACAGCUCGACAUCUCGAAGAGGAGAUGGCUAAGAUGAUGGGUAAAGAGGCAGCUCUCUUCGUGCCAUCUGGUACAAUGGGGAAUCUGAUAUGCGUUAUGGUUCACUGCGAAGUGAGAGGCAGCGAGGUGAUUCUUGGAGACAACAGCCACAUCCAUGUUUACGAGAAUGGAGGGAUAUCAACAAUCGGUGGCGUGCAUCCCAAGACAAUCAAGAAUGAAGAAGACGGGACGAUGGACUUGGGGGAUAUAGAAGCAGCUAUUAGAGACCCUAAAGGUAGCACGUUUUAUCCAUCUACAAGGUUGAUUUGCUUGGAGAACACACACGCCAACUCUGGUGGGAGAUGUUUGAGUGCUGAAUACACAGAUAGAGUUGGAGAGAUUGCGAAGAGACAUGGACUAAAGCUUCAUAUCGAUGGAGCUCGCCUCUUUAAUGCUUCCAUUGCACUUGGAGUUCCUGUCCAUAGGCUUGUAGAGGCUGCUGACUCUGUUUCCGUGUGUCUCUCUAAAGGUCUUGGAGCUCCAGUAGGAACUGUAAUCGUUGGCUCACAUACUUUCAUAGAGAAAGCGAAAACGUUGAGGAAAACACUAGGUGGAGGAAUGAGACAAAUAGGGGUUCUGUGUGCAGCCGCUUUGGUCGCACUCCAAGAGAACCUCCCAAAGCUACAAUUUGACCACAAGAAAGCAAAGUUGUUAGCUGAAGGGUUGAAUCAAAUGAAAGGGAUUAGAAUAAACGUUGCAGCCGUGGAGACUAACAUGGUGCGAUAUUCAUGGAUAUGGAGGAUGGAUCAAGACUUACUGCUGAGAAACUGCGCAAGAGUCUAACGGAGUGUGGCAUUCUCGUCCUCCCAGGAAACUCAUCUCGGAUCAGAAUGGUUGUACACCACCAGAUAACAAUAAGUGAUGUACAUUACACAUUGUCUUGCUUACAACAAGCAAUGCAAAUGAUUCAGGAACCAAGCCUAAACCAAACCGGCAAAACCGAAAAUGCUCUCUCUUUUUAAAUGUUGUUUGUCUAAGUUAUAUCUAAUUGUAAACAAUAAGGAUCGCUCGAUCUGUCAAUGUAAUUGUCACCCUAUGAUUUCCUCCAUUUUAUUAUGAAACACCCUCACAGUUGCAAGAAAAUUGAUUUUUUUUUCUGGUUUAGAGAUGCUACGAGAGCUGAGAUUAGAAAAAUGGUAUUAUCUGAAGUAAUUUUUUGAUAAUCUCUUUCAAUUCAAUGUACUUUGGACUUUCAAAAUAGAUGCCAAUACUAGUGUGAAAUGUUGAACUGGAAACCAAUCCACACAUGAAUCUUGUUGUAGUCCCACUAGCGACUAAAGUCUAAAACUAACGGUUUCAAGAGCCUUUAAAGUCUUCUUUCUUUCUUUCUCCUCUGUGUUGUUGUUUCAAGAGGCGCAAGAACAAACAGAGUUUUUUGGUUAUAUGUUUCUCUGUUUCCUCUGUAAAAGUGUCCAAAAAGAACGUGCAGGGAGCCUCAUCAACUCUGUAUGUACACACUAAAUCUCCUUCCAACUAAAU